CAGUCGCCGCGGGAAUACGGAGGGUGCAAGCGUUAUCCGGAUUUAUUGGGUUUAAAGGGUCCGUAGGCGGAUCUGUAAGUCAGUGGUGAAAUCUCACAGCUUAACUGUGAAACUGCCAUUGAUACUGCAGGUCUUGAGUAAAUUUGAAGUGGCUGGAAUAAGUAGUGUAGCGGUGAAAUGCAUAGAUAUUACUUAGAACACCAAUUGCGAAGGCAGGUCACUAAGAUUUAACUGACGCUGAUGGACGAAAGCGUGGGGAGCGAACAGGAUUAGAUACCCCCGUAGUCCCUGUCUCUUAUAU
This 301-nucleotide ribosomal RNA is filed under the name uncultured bacterium. RNAcentral describes it as "partial 16S ribosomal RNA". It matches the Rfam family "Bacterial small subunit ribosomal RNA", at positions 509 to 809 of the family's 1533-position model. The record is from RNAcentral.